CAGUGUUACAGCUCUUUUAGAAUUUGUCUAGCAGGCUUUCCGGUUUUAUGCCGGCAAGCCCCC
Molecule: small nuclear RNA, 63 nt
Filed under: Cebus imitator (Panamanian white-faced capuchin)
Lineage: Eukaryota; Metazoa; Chordata; Mammalia; Primates; Cebidae
Description: U7 small nuclear RNA (ENSCCAG00000000528.1)
Rfam family: U7 small nuclear RNA
About the family: Animal histone pre-mRNAs are spliced by a different mechanism than nuclear pre-mRNAs and self-splicing introns. This processing involves the U7 snRNP, which contains only one RNA species: U7. The 5' end of U7 RNA is thought to base-pair to a conserved spacer element downstream of the cleavage site in histone pre-mRNA.
Source: Rfam by way of RNAcentral